RNAcentral lists this ribosomal RNA (490 nucleotides) under uncultured bacterium. Its description in RNAcentral is "partial 16S ribosomal RNA". It matches the Rfam family "Bacterial small subunit ribosomal RNA", at positions 28 to 507 of the family's 1533-position model. The record is from RNAcentral.
GAUGAACGCUAGCGAUAGGCUUAACACAUGCAAGUCGAGGGGCAGCAUGGUCUUAGCUUGCUAAGACUGAUGGCGACCGGCGCACGGGUGCGUAACGCGCAUGCAACUUGCCUCACAGAGGGGGAUAACCCGUCGAAAGACGGACUAAUACCGCGUACACUCCAUCUUGGGCAUCCAAGGUAGAGGAAAUGAAAUUCGCUGUGAGAUAGGCAUGCGUCCCAUUAGCUAGUUGGUGAGGUAACGGCUCACCAAGGCGACGAUGGGUAGGGGAACUGAGAGGUUGAACCCCCACACUGGUACUGAGACACGGACCAGACUCCUACGGGAGGCAGCAGUGAGGAAUAUUGGUCAAUGGGCGAGAGCCUGAACCAGCCAAGUCGCGUGAAGGAUGACUGUCUUAUGGAUUGUAAACUUCUUUUAUACGGGAAUAACAAGAGUCACGUGUGACUCCCUGCAUGUACCGUAUGAAUAAGCAUCGGCUAACUCCGUG